Molecule: long non-coding RNA, 1425 nt
Filed under: Strigops habroptila (Kakapo)
Lineage: Eukaryota; Metazoa; Chordata; Aves; Psittaciformes; Psittacidae
Description: lncRNA (ENSSHBG00005010191.1)
Source: RNAcentral
UGAAUAAUUACUCAGUUUUGCUGUCUAAUACAGUUAAUGCAUAAUCUGAAGUGAUUUCCUAUAUUAGAUCUUAGUAGUUUGCAUUUGUAAUAGUCUUUAGUGAUGUAUCUGCAACACCAUUACAUCACUCAUACUUUGAAAGUACUAAAACCCGUCUCACAGGCCCUGAAAACGAUAUUCUACUUAAAAAGGCCUCAUCAGUCCCUUCCAGGGCAGUACUUAUCAGUGUUGCUGUCAUUACCACCCAUGUCUCCCCUAUCAUUUUGCAGGCAUCACUGCUUUGGUUAGAAACAGCAAGAGAAAAUCCAGCUUCUGAACAAAAGGGGAGCUAUGUAUAAAUCAAUCUGUAGGUACAGUUGAUAAGAAUUGCUUUGGCUGGUACAAGCUUAUUCCACUUUGGAGAAUGUAUUUUUUUGUGUCCGCAUAAGAACUCCCAUCAGUAAGGUGCAGUUCUGCUAACAGUGUGUGUUAGGAUAGUGUAUUAUCCAUACCUUCAGUUACAGGGAAGCUUUAAAUCUGCAUUCAGCCCAGCGAGAGGACCAUCUCUCUACCAGCAUCUCUGACUUCCAGUGGGUUUUGGUCCACGUUAUGUCUUGUUUCUGUUAUCCUACUCCAUAGUAGAGUCAAAUUGGUUUCUACAUAUAUCUGAAACUUAGUUGCACACACAUCAGAGAUACUCACUAGCAGCUGCCAGCGUGAUAAAGUUUUUACAGUGCUGUCCUCAGAGUUGUGUCUGUGCAGUGUUUUCUCCAUGGAACAUGCAGAUUCUCCACCCUUACCUGUAAACUGCAGAUUUGUGCUGGGGGCAAGUCCUCUCUUGAUCUUUCAUAUUUCUUUUCUCUGAAGUACUAGUCUGAAAAGACAGUAUCAGUAAGUUUAUUAAUGACUAAUCUGACGUAUUUCUAGUUUGAAAUAAAUCUUCACAAGGAAACUAGGUAUUUUUUUUUCUGUGGAAGCAUACUUUAGGUUGUAUUGGGUAUAUUCUAGGUAUCUGAAUUGAACAAAUUUGAAAUAGUUAUUUUUGCUACAGCAGGUUGUACUGGAAGGCAUAAUACGAAGUCAGUAAAUGGAGGGCGUUGCAACAUAUUGUAAGGCUGGUAGGUAGAGAGUUGAGAAUGGUCUGCAGAAUAAUACUGAACAGAAAAUAAUAACCUUCUACUGUCUUUGUUAUACCAUAAGUAUUAUUUUAGAAUGCAUUCCAUGGAAAAUACUAUAAUUAGAGGUAUUUAAUUUUAAUCAUGAAGGUAUCGGUGAUCAUAUUUCUGGGUGUUUUAAGAGAUUUUCUAAAAUGACACUGAAAAAUGCAAAGCACCAUGAUGGGUUCAGAUUUCAGAUAUAUGUUCUUUCUUGGGUAUUACAGCUUUUUUGCUGUUUUCAAUUACAUGGUACAACUAAGUGUGUUGUAGUGGUAGAUGCUGGGGAAAA